RNAcentral lists this long non-coding RNA (5526 nucleotides) under Salvia miltiorrhiza (redroot sage). RNAcentral's name for it is "long non-coding RNA (SMIL_LNC000457)". Lineage: Eukaryota; Viridiplantae; Streptophyta; Magnoliopsida; Lamiales; Lamiaceae. The record is from RNAcentral.
AUGUUGAAGAUUAUUGCAGCUAUGAGUAAAGAUAUUUCAAAUAUUUUUCAAGAGGAUGAGUAUAAAUUAUUUACGUUGAAAGUAUAGUGAAUUUGCUACAAUGAUUGAAGUUAUUAUGAGAAAAUGUUCAAGUUCAGUAUUCAAGUUAUUAUGUUGAAGAUUAUUGCAACUAUGAAUUGUCAAAUUUCGAGGACGAAAUUCUUUUAAGUGGGUAGGUUUGUCACAGCCCAAAACCAUUUACUACCUUUGCAAAUUUUAUUUGAAAAUUUAUUGUAUUUUCGAGAUAUUAAAAAUAUAAAUCUAUGAGUCGAGUUUGUGAUGAAUUAUCUAGUCGCGCCCCUAGCUAGAUGUAUGACUCUAAAUUCUAGGUUAUACCUAUAGAAAUAAAGUUUUAUAUUCCAAAAAUAUUUUUAUAUAAAUUUGGGCCUAAAUAAAUUUAUUUACUUAAAUAUAUUUAUCAUGGACAUUAUAUUAAUUUUGGAUUAAGAAUAAAAUAUUUUCAUAAAUUUUAUUAGUGUUGGACUUAUUAUUAUUAAUGGGCAAAAUUCUUUUGCAAUAAUCUUAAAACAAUUAUUCAAGUUUCAACAUUUAUAGUUAAUUAAUGAUUUCAAGGAUUUGGAUACCUUAUUUUCGUAUCUGCAAAUUAACAAUUUCUACUCUAUUUAUUUACAUUUGUUUAAAGAAGUCUCCAAGCCAGCCAUUCCUAUUUUCAUUCUUAUCAGAUAUCUAACCGCCCUAAUUAGAUAAAUGACUUUGAACUAUAGAUUAUAUUUAUAAAAGAUACAAAUUUAUAUUAUCAAAUAUUUUUAAUAAAUAUGUUGGGCCAUAGUUUUAUUCUUUUCUAUGAUAAUUGGGUUAAAAUUUUAUUAUUUGAAAGCACAUUUAUCAUCUUUAAAGCCCAAUUAUUAUUAUAAGUCCAUAUGUCUUUCUUUAAUUAAAAUGAGAUGUUACGUGGUUCAGUUUUUCCUUAGCCACAUAUUCUGAUUUAAUCACCUUCAGCCACCUAAUUUUAUUCAGCCGCGUAUCACUCACUGCCAUCACAUUUAAAAUUCACCCAAAUAACUUGCUAGGUUUCAUUUCAUCAAAAUUUUCCAGAGCACAAAUUUCAUUCAAGUUAACAGACUUCUCAUUUCUGAUAUUUCCUUCACAAAACUUCAGCUGGUAAUUUUAUUGUUUCGGUGAGAUUUCAUGUUUUAAUUCAUCACAGCAAAUUACUACGUUUUUCUUUCAUUCUCAUUUAUUUAUUUUGUGAAACAACACAAGCCCAUUUAUUUAUCAUACAUUAUAAGCCCAUAUAUAUAUAUAUAUUAUUAAUGUGUAAAUAAAUUUUUAUGAAAAUGACUUCAGCUACAUAUCCACAUUUACUCAGCUUCAGCCAUAUAUCACUGUAGUACCUUUCCGUCAGAUUUGAUCAAAACUACAGCAAAACUUUGAUUUCAAAACUUUGAUUUCAAACAUCAGCAUGCCAAACUUGAAUUAAAUUUCCUUUCCGUAAGAUUUGAUUUUCUUCCACAAGCAGCAAAUUUUUGAUUUCUUUCACAUUCAAAUGAACGAGUAUAUUCAAUCUAUUUAAACCUCAAUUCCUCACCCCUAACUCACCUCUUCAUCUGUUCAUUUAACUAAAAUCUGCAGAUUCUUCCUACGAAUUCCAGCUGGUAAAUUUUAAUUAUUUUUGCAAAGUUUCUUUUUCAUUCAUGGUUUCUCAUUUCUGCCAAAAAUCAAAACUUUACAACAGAAUUUUGUUUUCAAAAUCCAAAUAUGCAUACAUCCAUUUUUCUGUAAUUUCCAUGAGGUAAUAAAAUAGAUCAGAGUUAUUAUUAAUUACAAAGAAAAGGAAUAGAAGAAGGAACUGGAAAUGGGUUUAGUGGCCUGGAACAGGGGGUGCGAUUGAACAGCGCCGCCGGCGCUGCGCGCCACGGCGGCUGGCAGGAGGAGACAGGGACGGUGGUGCAGUGGUCUUGGCCGCUGCUAUGCUGGGACAGAGGGAGAAGGCGCUUGGGCUGUGCUGCUGUCAACGCGGGGGCGGCGAUGGUGGUGCUGCUGUCGGCCAGGUGAGAAAAGGAAGGUGAGGGCGACGUCGGGCAGGAAUAGGUGGCGACGAAGGGUCGCCGGAGAAGAGGGGCGCAGCUGCGGCUGGUGCGGCGAGGACAAGGGCAGGGGAGGAGGCGGGAGAUGAGGGAGGGAAGUCGACGGAGAGGGAGAACUGAGGGAAGACAGAGAGAGGUCGAAGGGAAGGAGAGAGGAGGCAGAGCCGCCGGCCUCCGGCGGCGGCGUGCCGUCUGGUGGCGGCGGCAGGAGGCCGAGAAGAGGAGAGGGAGAGAGAGAGAAAGGGAGGCUGGGGGUUGGUGUGUGUGAGCUGCGUGAGAUGAUGUGUGUGGAGGGAGUGUUUAAAUUAGGGUGAAGGGAAAGAAUGGGCUUGGGCCUAGGAUAGUUUGUUUUUUUUUUUUUAAAUGGGCUCAGAUUUAUUAAAUGAUUGGGCUAUAAUUUGAUUAAUUAUUGCACUAAUUUAUUUUAUCAAAAGGCUUGCAUUUGCAUAUUAUUUUACAAAGAAUGUCAUAUUUGGACUUCAUAUUUUAAUUUUCAUUAUUAAGUUGGACUUGAUUUUAUUAAAUUUCAACUCAAAUUUUAAAGAAGCAUGCAUUUUAUUAUUUGAUUCAUUAGACCAACUAUUUCCAAAAUGAUUUUAUGAUAAUAAAUUCUUAAGAUUUAAACUACUAUUAUUAUUAUUAUUAUUAUUAUUUUAAAGUUUAAUUAGGCCCUUACGUUAUAUUAUUUGAAUUUAUCUGACUAGGUGCGGCGCGACUAGGACAUGGUUUUUAAUUUGAAUUAUCAGAAUUAGCUUUCAAGUUGAAGUUCAAGUUCAAGUUUAAAAUUCAGGUGUGGGAUUUAUUUCAGUACAUGCACGUGGUUAAUAUUUGUCCAUUUUAAUAUUAUGUGUUUACCGUAUGUGUUGUAAAAAUAUUUAUCGCUAGGGGCCAGCAUAAUUGGUCCAGGACUUCACCGUCCUUGGUAUGCCACAAUGCGAUUUCAUGUUACAGGGUUGCAACCAUUAUAUUGUCGCCAGGGAUCCAUAUAUAGGGUCCGGGACAUUAAAGUCCUUGGAGUUGCCACAGUGCGUAUGGAAGUUAUGUUACGUUAUGACAAUAUGUGUUACCAUUUUAUUAACAUGGACAAUUAUUGCAUGUUCCCACACUGAGUGUACCCUGUAUGCUCAUCCCAUAUUCAACAGUUUCAGGUGAUUGAUAUCGGAGGCGCGUGGAGAGUCGAAUGGGCGCGUCACAUCUAUUUAAAAAUAAAUGUUUCUUAAAACAUAUUGUGUUAUUUCAUGUGAUAUUUUUGGUUAUGUAAACUCUGAAAUUCUAUAUUAUUUGAGAUUUGUGUGUGAUUUAUUUAAAUAAAUGUUGUUAUAUUAUUUUAAUGUCAUGACUUGUUUAAUCUAUAUUUAAAUUCAUUUCAAAUAUUUAUUUAAGAAUUUAUAUCUUUACGAGUAUAUAUACAUGGAUACAUACAUAAUUUUUAAUUAUAUAAAGAUUUUAUUUUGUUAUAUUUUCCGCUGCUAAAAAGAUAUGAUUUUAUAUUUAGAGUUUUUUUUUUCCUUAGUACAAGUUUUAUUAAUUAGUUAAUUAUUUUUCUGACAUCUUCAUGUCGUGCUUUGAAAAUAAAGUUGUUUAAAUUUAUGAAUUCAAAAUCAAGUUUUAUAUUUGAAUACAUUAUUGAAAAUUUUGAUAUCUUAUAAAUCGUUUUAAAAAUGCUUUAAAAACCAAUUUUAUUUAAAGAUUUCUUUUUCUUAAAAUUAUUUUCGAAAAUAUUUAUUUUAAAAAGUGAGUUUUAAAUUAUUUUAAGACUUCCGCAUUAAAUAUUUAUUUAAAUUUUAUAUUUAACUCCUUAAUUAGAUUAGGGUGUUACAGCAUGGUAUCAGAGCAGGUCUACUUUCCUGUAGACUCUGCAAAAUAUUUUACAUAAAAUUCUUAAAUGUCAUGUGUGAGAAAAUCCAUUCGACCUCUUCGUGCUCCGACUUCAAGGUAAAUGUAUUUUAAAAGUAUUUUAAAAUAUUUUUAUAGGGAUGAGUAUAAAUUGUUUACAUUGAAAGUAUGUUGAAAUUUGCUGCAAUAAUUGAAGUUAUUAUCAGAAAGUUCAAAUUCAUUAUGCAAGUUAUUAUGAGAAAGUUCAGUAUUCAAAUUAUAUGUUGAAGAUUAUUGCAGCUAUGAGUAAAGAUAUUUCAAAUAUUUUUCAAAAGGAUGAGUAUAAAUUGUUUACGUUGAAGUAAUAUGAAUUAGCUGCAAUAAUGAAGUUGUUAUGAGAAAUUCAAGUUCAGUAUCAAGUUAUUAUGUUGAAGAUUAUUGCAGCUAUGAGUAAAGAUAUUUCAAAUAUUUUUCAAGAGGAUGAGUAUAAAUUAUUUACGUUGAAAGUAUAGUGAAUUUGCUGCAAUGAUUGAAGUUAUUAUGAGAAAAUGUUCAAGUUCAGUAUUCAAGUUAUUAUGUUGAAGAUUAUUGCAACUAUGAAUUGUCAAAUUUCGAGGACGAAAUUCUUUUAAGUGGGUAGGUUUGUCACAGCCCAAAACCGUUUACUACCUUUGCAAAUUUUAUUUGAAAAUUUUUAUAUUUUCGAGAUAUUAAAAAUAUAAAUCUAUGAGUCGAGUUUGUGGAGAAUUAUCUAGUCGCGCCCCUAGCUAGAUAUAUGACUCUAAAUUCUAGGUUAUACCUAUAGAAAUAAAGUUUUAUAUUCUAAAAUAUUUUUAUAUAAAUUUGGGCCUAAAUAAAUUUAUUUACUUAAAUAUAUUUAUCAUGGACAUUAUAUUAAUUUUGGAUUAAGAAUAAAAUAUUUUCAUAAAUUUUGUUAGUGUUGGGCUUAUUGUUAUUAAUGUGCCAAAUUCUUUUGCAAUGAUCCUAAAACAAUUAUUCAAGUUUCAACAUUUAUAGUUUAUUAAUGAUUUCAAGGAUUUGGAUACCUUAUUUUCGUAUCUGCAAAUUAACAAUUUCUACUCUAUUUAUUUACAUUUGUUUAAAGAAGUCUCCAAGCCAGCCAUUCCUAUUUUUAUUCUUAUCAGAUAUCUAACCGCCCUAAUUAGAUAAAUGACUUUGAACUAUAGAUUAUAUUUAUAAAAAGAUACAAAUUUAUGUUAUCAAAUAUUUUUAAUAAAUAUGUUGGGCCAUAGUUUUUAUUCUUUUUCUAUGAUAAUUGGGUUAAAAUUUUAUUAUUUGAAAGCCCAUUUAUCAUCUUUAAAGCCCAAUUAUUAUUAUAAGCUCAUAUGUCUUUCUUUAAUUAAAAUGAGAUGUUACGUGGUUCAGUUUUUCCUUAGCCAAAUAUUCUGAUUUAAUCUCCUUCAGCCACCUAAUUUUAUUCAGCCACGUAUCACUCACUGCUAUCCCAUUUAAAUUCACCCAAAUAACCUACUAGGUUUCAUUUCAUCAAAAUUUUCCAGAGCACAAAUUUCAUUCAAGUUAACAGACUUCUCAUUUCUGAUAUUUCCUUCACAAAACUUCAGUUGGUAAUUUUAUUGUUUCUGUGAGAUUUCAUGUUUUAAUU